UGAGUAUUGUUAAGGAAAACAAAGAAGAUAUGGAAAAAUGGAAGGAGCUGAUAAAAAAUUUUCAGGAGCAGAGGCAAUUGAUGUUACGAAAAGAAAACUUGGCAGAAAAAGUGGUUCUGGAUUCCAUUGUUUCUCAAAAGACUAGUGAGAGAUUACAACAAGCCAAGGCAAAAGUUGCAGCUGUAAAGGAUCAUCAAGCCGAUAUGAAAAUUAUGAUCAGGCUGCCAUUAAGCUGCAGUGCAAUAAAACAUGUAUAAUAAACUCCAGUGUUUAAGAUGCUAACUUGCAACAUUGUAAGUGAAUAUAAACCAAACUGUGUCUUUUUAUUUGAAUGCUAAAUGUGGAAGUCUAUACUCUCAUCAUUUAAACUGAACUUCCAGGCCUUCAUUUAAGAAAAAAACAUAAUGAAGAGAGACAGUUAUGUAUGUUUACUUCUAGAAUGUAUAAAAGUGUAAUGUUAAGUGUACUUUCAACCCUGGUCUUAUUUUAAAAAAAUCAACAUUUACUAUUAGAUACCACACUCUAGUGUAUGAUAUAGCUCUGUAUUUUCCUAACCUUAGAAGUGACUGUGAUAUUUCAGAUUGCAUUGUGUGGUAAUUGGUGGUAAAUGUUUACUUUUAAAUGGCGAGGACUACAAGUGUGCAUACAGUUAUCAUCUGUACUUACUCUGAAAACUAAAUUAUUCAGUGCGACAAAAAUAAUAGGGUUUUUAUGGCUGCUAAUAUACCAAAUAGCCAGAGUGCAAUUAAAAUUUUGACUACAGUUAUUGCAGACUGUGUUGCUGAAGCUUUGCGUCAGUGCUGCCUCAGUAAAUGUAUACAUACAACAAUGCCAUAAGCAUUUAGCUCUAGAUGGAAUAUAUUUUCUGUUUCAUUCUGGCAACCCCUGAUGCAUUUUCUCCUAGCUGCUAACUUUCAUUAUGUACUUUGAUUCGUCUCAUUAGCUGCUUUUGUACAUGUAAUUAAUUAUGUUUCUAGUUUAUUCUACUUACAUUCUUUUUAUACAUAGUUCUGUGUAUGUGUACAUGUAUGUGCAUGUCUAUAUAAAAUAUGAGCGACAAGGUGGGUGAGGUAAUAUCUUUUAUUUGACCAACAGAGAAGCUCUCUCACCAACAGAAGAUAUUACCUCACCCAUCUUAUUUCUCUGAUAUCCUGGGACCAACACGGAAACAACUACACUGCAUAUAUAAAAUAUAGUCAUUUUUAUUAUUAUUAUAAUUAUAUCUAUCUUGUGCCAGUGUUGGCACGCAGGGCGGAAACUAGUCUCUUCCAGUCCUCUCUUAUUUGCUGCUGCUUCUGCACUUUGAUGUGGCUGUUGGUCCCAAGCCUGGAUAAAGUUGGGAGGAUUGAUAACACAGCUAACCACCUAGCCUCAUAAAAAAAAAAGUCACUGGUUAAAGAAACAGAAUCAGGCUACCAUUCUGACAAAAAUGGCUACUCAGUAGGGAACACUGCUGAUCCUUCAUGCUACAUAGUGGUAAAAGCCAGUUUUGGAAAGUCAGGACCCCGAAAACUUUGAUAUAGCAGCAAGAAAACACUUUAAAGGUUUUUUUUGAAAAGUGAGAACAAUGUUUCGGACAUAAACAGUCUCACGGGUCAUGAGGGAGAUGGAUAACUAUAAACUUGAGUAUAUUAAUUUUGCUAAAUAAAUAUCUUGUG
Molecule: long non-coding RNA, 1658 nt
Filed under: Chrysemys picta bellii (western painted turtle)
Lineage: Eukaryota; Metazoa; Chordata; Testudines; Emydidae
Description: lncRNA (ENSCPBG00000022530.1)
Source: RNAcentral